RNAcentral lists this ribosomal RNA (826 nucleotides) under uncultured Alphaproteobacteria bacterium. RNAcentral describes it as "bacterial SSU rRNA". It matches the Rfam family "Bacterial small subunit ribosomal RNA", at positions 51 to 925 of the family's 1533-position model. Lineage: Bacteria; Pseudomonadati; Pseudomonadota; Alphaproteobacteria. The record is from RNAcentral.
ACACAUGCAAGUCGAGCGAGACCUUCGGGUCUAGCGGCGGACGGGUUAGUAACGCGUGGGAAUAUACCCCUUCCUACGGAAUAGCCUCGGGAAACUGGGAGUAAUACCGUAUACCCCCUUUUGGGGAAAGAUUUAUCGGUGAAGGAUUAGCCCGCGUCUGAUUAGAUAGUUGGUGGGGUAAUGGCCUACCCAGUCUACCAUCAGUAGCUGGUUUGAGAGAAUGAUCAGCCACACUGGGACUGAGACACGGCCCAGACUCCUACGGGAGGCAGCAGUGGGGAAUCUUAGACAAUGGGCGCAAGCCUGAUCUAGCCAUGCCGCGUGAGUGACGAAGGCCUUAGGGUCGUAAAGCUCUUUCGCCAGAGAUGAUAAUGACAGUAUCUGGUAAAGAAACCCCGGCUAACUCCGUGCCAGCAGCCGCGGUAAUACGGAGGGGGUUAGCGUUGUUCGGAAUUACUGGGCGUAAAGCGCACGUAGGCGGAUUGGAAAGUAUGGGGUGAAAUCCCAGGGCUCAACCCUGGAACUGCCUUGUAAACUCCCAGUCUAGAGUUCGAGAGAGGUGAGUGGAAUUCCAAGUGUAGAGGUGAAAUUCGUAGAUAUUUGGAGGAACACCCGUGGCGAAGGCGGCUCACUGGCUCGAUACUGACGCUGAGGUGCGAAAGUGUGGGGAGCAAACAGGAUUAGAUACCCUGGUAGUCCACACCGUAAACGAUGAAUGCCAGACGUCAGGGGGCUUGCCCUUUGGUGUCACACCCUAACGAUUAAGCAUUCCGCCUGGGGAGUACGGUCGCAAGAUUAAACUCCAAGGAAUUGACGGGGGCCCCGC